This is a non-coding RNA of Pangasianodon hypophthalmus (striped catfish), 511 nucleotides long. The record is from the annotation of a RefSeq genome assembly. NCBI's taxonomy places the organism in Eukaryota, Metazoa, Chordata, Actinopteri, Siluriformes, Pangasiidae.
ACUUCACCCACAGCUACCAUGACUUUCAUCCCCGUCUUCAUCUGGACACUGAUCCUCUGGACUCAAGAAUGCAGAAGUCAAGUCACAGUAACUCAGACUCCUGCAGUGAAAUCUGCUCUUCCAGGAGAAACAGUCACCAUCAACUGUAGAACCAGUCAGGCAGUGUAUUAUUACAGCUCAUACGGCCACUACUUACACUGGUAUCAGCAGAAACCUGGAGAAGCUCCUAAACUACUGAUUAAAUAUGUGAAUAAGUUACAGUCAGGUUUUCCAGCUCGUUUCAGUGGCAGUGGAUCUGGAUCUGAUUUCACUCUGACCAUCAGUGGAGUCCAGACUGAAGAUGCAGGAGAUUACUACUGUCAGAGUUACCAUUCCAUCACUGGCUACUGGUUCACACAGUGUUAUAGAGUCGUACAAAAACCUCCCUCAGUCAGAUUGUAGAGAGACUGCACUGCUGCAGCUGGGAGCGACUGCAGGUGCUGGGUUGGAGGAUGUGAUACGAUACAAUGAC